AUGAUGGUGAUGUACAACCUCACCAGAGUACCAAUUGGAGGGCAAGUCUGGUGCCAGCAGCCGCGGUAAUUCCAGCUCCAAUAGCGUAUAUUAAACUUGUUGCAGUUAAAAAGCUCGUAGUUGUAUUUCAGCCUCGCGUUUUUUCCCUGGUUUUGGGUCUUUUCGCUGGCUUUUUUUUUACUUUGAGAAAAUUAGAGUGUUUCAAGCAGACUUUUGUCUUGAAUACUUCAGCAUGGAAUAAUAGAGUAGGACCUUGG
This 257-nucleotide ribosomal RNA is filed under the name Babesia bigemina. RNAcentral's name for it is "partial 18S ribosomal RNA". It matches the Rfam family "Eukaryotic small subunit ribosomal RNA", at positions 514 to 833 of the family's 1831-position model. The record is from RNAcentral. Lineage: Eukaryota; Apicomplexa; Aconoidasida; Piroplasmida; Babesiidae.